AUACGGAGGGUGCAAGCGUUAUCCGGAUUCACUGGGUUUAAAGGGUGCGUAGGCGGGUAUGUAAGUCAGUGGUGAAAUACCGGAGCUUAACUUCGGAACUGCCAUUGAUACUAUAUAUCUUGAAUAUUGUGGAGGUAAGCGGAAUAUGUCAUGUAGCGGUGAAAUGCUUAGAGAUGACAUAGAACACCGAUUGCGAAGGCAGCUUGCUACGCAAAUAUUGACGCUGAGGCACGAAAGCGUGGGGAUCAAACAGGAUUAGAUACCCUGGUAGUCCACGCCCUAAACGAUGAUUACUCGACAUUAGCGAUACACAGUUAGUGUCUGAGCGAAAGCAUUAAGUAAUCCACCUGGGAAGUACGACCGCAAGGUUGAA
Molecule: ribosomal RNA, 373 nt
Filed under: uncultured bacterium
Lineage: Bacteria
Description: bacterial SSU rRNA
Rfam family: Bacterial small subunit ribosomal RNA
Source: RNAcentral